Neopelma chrysocephalum (saffron-crested tyrant-manakin) is the source of this 1385-nucleotide long non-coding RNA. RefSeq lists it as uncharacterized. The transcript has 3 exons. Lineage: Eukaryota; Metazoa; Chordata; Aves; Passeriformes; Pipridae. The record is from RefSeq and is a predicted model, not a curated record.
AGACCAGCAGCACGUGAGACAAAAGCCUGGCUGUGCCAAGAGCCAGCAGUGGCAGCAGGAGGAAAAACACUGGAUUUGGAAGCACUGAUAAGAGAGCUGGAAUCACUCACAUUCCUCCCUGACAGCCCCUCCUUGUUCCCUGAGCUCAGAACCAGGGUCUGGAUAAACUCCUUCAAGGAGCAUCCAGGCCUUGGAAGGAAAACCUUCCCCCCAAGGAUGCUCAGGUUGGGUUCCAGCACCCAGAGCUGACACUGCUGGUGCAGGUUUUAAAGCAGCAGCAAAGCAAACAGCAGGGACUGGAGUUGAUUUUUUCCACAUUAACUGAAAGGUUGUUAGUCAAGGACAAGAGGCCUCCAGGGCUGUACCAGAGCUGGAAAAUGGAGGAGUUUGGCAGUCUAAAUAAAUAUAUCCAUGUAUGCUUUUGUGCUCCAUCACAUUUGCCAAGACACGCAGGUCACAGAUAUCUGUGUGUGCCAAGAUGAACAAACACCAGGACCCAGCUUUGAAAACACAAUUCUAAUUCUGAACUUGAAGAGUUCUCAAUUCUCUCUGGCUGUGGCAACGCUUUGUUUCAUCUCUCUCGUGGAGAGAGGAACUGCAACAACACACAGCAGCGUUUCCCUAAUCUUUGAAACACUGAAAUUUUCCUCUGCUGCGGCCCAGACAUCCCAAAAAAAAAUCAUUUUAACACCAAGGAGAUGAAUUGAGCAGCGAAGUGGAUCCAUCAGCUGUGACUUCCACCUCUGGCACUUCAAGGAGAGCUGUGGGAACCCAACCCAGGGAAGCAGCACCACACGGGGAGCAGCUGCAGAGGAGCCAGGGAAGAAAACCCAGCAGGCAGAGAUCGUUUAAAACACAUUUUGUGAAGGCAGCUGACACCUGGAAACCAAGUGCUUACAUUGUUUGAACAACCUGUAAAUAGAAGGAAAACCUUCCUGGCUGGGCCCCCACAGCAAACCCAGCAGAGAGAGGGCUUUGAAGGCACCCGAGGUGUCUGUGCUGCUUCACUUUGAAGCUGCAGAUAAGGGUGAGCAGUGUAAAACACGACUAUUAUCAGCUCUGGCAGACACAGCCUGACAUGAAAACAGCAGCUCCCUCAGCGUGGUGAAUUCCUGAGCAAAGGGAGAGCUCCUUGCACAGGCACAGCCUCGGCCCCUCGAACAGGAGGUGGGUUCUGAACAGGGGAAAAAACGCAGUGGGAAGGGGGAGACACAUCCUGGAAGCACCUUUAAGUGAAGCUCCCACCAACAUUCAUCCAAAUCCUCGCUCAAACUGGGAAAAAUCAGCGUCCCCAUGAGGCAGACAGACGGUGUUUCAAAGGGGACCCCAAAUAUCCAACUUUUUCCAACCUGUGACAUCACCUGACUUAUAUAAAAUCUCCUUCC